Felis catus (domestic cat) is the source of this 5935-nucleotide long non-coding RNA. RefSeq lists it as uncharacterized. The transcript has 2 exons. The record is from RefSeq and is a predicted model, not a curated record. Lineage: Eukaryota; Metazoa; Chordata; Mammalia; Carnivora; Felidae.
GGGCGGGGCCGAGGGCCGAACCCGCCCGCCGCCCCGCCCAGACACGUGCUGCCUUUGUUCCCGCCGCGGCGCCCGCAGCCGCGGGCCGCGGGGGCGCUCUCGGCCGCGUCCCCGCCCUGGCGACGCGCGGCCCGCCCGGACUGAGGUUGCCGCACGAGAAGCCAUCCACAGAGGCUGGCCGGGACUCCGAGAUCCCUUUUUCCAUUAACAUCCUCGCCACCCGGGAAAGAUGCUGGGGCGCCGGGGGAGGAGAAGCCUUUGCUGAAGCCACUCGCAUCCCGAUGGGCUGUCCCAUCGACUUUCGUGCCUCCCCCUCCGGGUCCUCUGUUCCCGCACUCCAGCAAUUUCCCCACUCCCAAGUCGGGCCAGUAAAGAUUACAUGAAAACUGGCACACCUAUUGGCUGGAAUACAGAUGCACCAAAUGAGGAUUUAAAAACUUUCCGAGCGAAAAGUAGAACAAAAAGAAAAAAGAAUCUCCUAGCAUUUUCCCCAAAGGUUUCACUCUCCCGCCACACACACUCUCCAAAGGACCGCUACAGAUCCAACUCUGCAAGAGAAGACAGAGCAGUGUCAAUCGGGGAAGCUGUGAGGCCACCGGGAGGCUUUCAGUCUCGACAGGCAGAAGACAGCGCUGCCCGGGCCUGGGUCCCGGAGCCAGCACUCACCUAUGUCAGUUUCUUGGCUUUGUUGUAGAGGGAAUCCACUACUUUACUCAUGUUCUGAAUUGUUUCCAGAGCAGCUUCAUAAGUUUUAUCUACUGGGGGUUCAUCGAAAAUAAUCAAGACACCCUCCCCCUGGUCCAAGAUCCCUGCAGGAAACACAAGGGCAACCCAGGUAAAAGAACGGAUUAGACACAAAAGCACUUGAGAAGCAGCCCACUCCCUAGCUGCCUCCCUUUCUCCAGAAAGGAGGAGAACCAGAAAGCAUCUCCAUGUUCCAUGUGCACAUGUCUAUUACACAUUCUCUUAUGGGGAUAAGAGGGGCAAGGAUCCCAGGGAGCCACCAGGUGAAACAAAUGGAACAUCUCCUUUCAAGAUAAACAAGAGCGUGAUGCCUCAUCCGCAUCCCCACCGCCAGCAGCCCCCUCGCCUAUAUGACUUACUCACCAUGAAAUUUCUUGUCAAGAAUCAUCUGUGAUAAUUUCCUUUCCACGUCGGCCUAAAAUCAAAGCACAUGAUGAAAGGGACUGGUAUCCACUAGUGGAAGAUCACACGGGCAUGAAAGUUUUGUAUAAAAGGGCAAAUGGAUCGAAAACAAAACGGCAACAAUGCAACUCGAGCUCUGAGCUCGUGGUCUCCUUACCACAUGAAGAAGCUUGAGGACCUCCAACCAGGCCCAUCCAGUGUAAAUGCCAGCACCUCCAUGUGCCCCUCUCCCCGUCCCCACCCCCAAGACAAGCUCAGGACUGCUUACCUUGGAGAGUUUGAUGAGGCUAGAUAUGUGUUCAAUCUAAAAGAAAAGGCAGAGAGCGACACCGAGAGUCAUGCUUCUGCCUCUAACAUGGAGGUAGAGUGGGGGUGGGAUUGCUGUGUCUCCUGAAACCUGGCCCAGCAUCUCUCUGGGACGGACUGUCUCUGGUCAUGCUUAGGUCUCUCGUGCUCUGUCCGUCUGCCUGCCUCUCAUUGCCAGACAACACACACUCCUACCCCACAUGCCCCUACAGGAGUAUCUACCACAGGCACGGUGACUACAGAAGCAAGGAGGGGACUGCUCUCAGAUUACAAGCAGAGGCCAUCUCCCCGGCCUCCACCCCACAGCACCUCCACAAGAAAAGCUCAAGCCUCUAGCCCUCCAGACACAGCCCUGGAAGCAAGUUCCUAUUGUGGAUAGGUGUGGGAAGGGAGGGAGCUAGAGAGAACACUUAGCCAGAGAAGAACCAGGGUCCCCCGCAGGGUCCUUACCUGAACUCGGGAAAAAGGCUCAAUGACCCGGAUCAGAUUCUGUUCCAGCAAGUUGUCAUACAACUUGGCCAAGUGUGUACUGAUGAUUGGGUCAUCCCGGAGCUCUGCCCGGUAAUCUGUCAGGGCCUGCCAAGAGAGCCGGUCACAGAGAUUGGCACACAGAAGCACCUGAAAGGCACACUACUCCUAGCUUCCUAAGUAGUCUGCUGGACUUUGUAAAUCCAUGGUUGACUGAAGUUAUGGAGGAUCUGAGAUGAAAGACCAGUUAUGACAGAAAGUAGAAGAAAAGAAACAUCAAGAACUAAAAGACGGAGCCCCUUCUCGGCACCAUCUUUCUAUAGGAAAGUCUCACGUUGACAGCUCGCUCAAACCACGUAAGCCCCAAGAACAGCUCAGCUUGAAAGCCAAAUCAACUAUACAAGCAGUUCUCAAGAUGUAUCCACAGAGUAAAUAGGGUCUCCGUGAAAAAAAAGGAAAAAAGUUUUUUGAGGUAAACAACGGGAAAUGCAUUCCACAAGUGGCUCUUGGAGUUUUACAAGAACAUCAGCAUACAGUUCUGCAGUUAACAGAAAGCAAAGCAUCUAAUUUUGUUUAGCCCUAGGGUUUCCCAGACCCUUUCCCAAGGAACACCUACUAACAGAAGUGUCCCAUCAAACAUCCCAAACUUUAAAAUAAAAUGAUCUAUUGUUUAUUCAUGAAUGUAAUUUAUCUACCCUGAGAAAUGGUCUCAAUAUCCAGCCUCAUGCCAGCUGUGCUAUAAGGUGUUAAGCAAGCAAAUCAUGACAAGUAAGGAAGUGAAUGAAACCAGCAAGAAAGCUCUGCAAAGAUGAUGAAUCUUGGGGGACACCCACAGCCAAAUGGUCUAGCCUCUGUCCACACUACGUUUUUCUUCCUAGAUCUAGGUUUGUUUUUAUUAGGUUGGUCAAUAUACUCAGACUAAGAGGAGAGAGGCUCAGAAGAGAACAGAUAAGUCUCACACUACUGCUCAGGCAAGUUCUCCCUUUUCAAACCUUCACUAACAAUGAGUGGAAGGCAGAGGAGACAAAGACAGCCUGAAGAGUGAACUGAGGAAGUGUGUUCCAGUCCACUAGCAUACAUCAAGACUUCUCCUUUGCCGACAGACGAGAAGCAGAGCUGACAUUUCUGGAGCUGAAGGAAACCCUGAGACCGUGGAAUGUGGAACAAGUGCCAAGCCUGGCAUCGAACCCUGACAUGUGAGCUGUGGGGCUUCGGGCCUUCUCGCUGAACCCCAGCUCCCUCAACUAUAAAACGCAGGUAAGAGGUUGUUGUGAAAAAUUAAGUAGAAAAGGAUGACAGAAACAAAUGUUUGAAACUGAAAGUUACUAUAUAUAAAUGAGGUAUUACAACUCAACAAGUUUCAGUGUACAAAAGUGCUCAACUCUUUCCAGGUUUUGAUACUGUACUAUAAUUAAGAUGUAACCAUCGGGAAACUGGGUGAAUGGUACACGGGAUCACUGUGUACUAUCUUUGAAACUUCUUGUGAAACUAUUAUUUACAAACAAAAAGGUUUUUUUAAGUAUGUAAAUGACCCUCUCCUCCACCCAAUUCCCUACCAACCCGAUACCAUGCUUACCUUUUCAAAAUCUGCCAGUGAUCUGUUCUUGCUAGCCUGAGCCACACAUUUUAAUGCUUCUGUCUAAGAGUAAAGAGAAAAGCAGUGAAAGUGAUCUCUUCUGCAUUCAGACCUCAUCCACUAAAUGUCACAAGCAGUCCGCUAUGUCCACGCAACUUUUGGAUGCGAGGAAGAACCUGCCCCACCACUGGUUUUCAGAGGCCUGGGAAGAAAAGCUAGAAAAUGACGAGAGAACUAUGAUCUCUUUACCCCUCCUCCAAGGCUCUUUAUGCCCAAGCCCCCAGACUCUUUUUGCCCUUAGACCUGAUCAUCAUACCUGUGCUUCAUCAACUCUCAUUCUCCCAGGUUUGGUACAGAGCACGAGCCAAGGUCUAUUUUCAUUAGGGUUGAGACACCAGAAUUCUACAUAUUACACUCAACGUUAAAAUGCCACAGAGGGAUGAAGGUACAAUCAGUGGCUGAGAGCAACUUCUAACCUGGUUAAUAAAAGGCACUUCACCAAGCUAUCAAGUCUCCACUCAGCAAGACAUCUACAAUCUUUCUGGGAGACUGUUCUGACUCCUGCUUGAAAGUGGUCAUCAAGGUACAAAGGACCAGAAGGACCUCCUCUCGUACCAGCCUAUGCACUUACAUAAGGACGCUAUGUGUUACACAGCAGACUUUGAAAUGGUGCAAAACUAAUCAUUAGUCUGUCUCAGCAUUUAUGCCAGACAGAACAGAUGUCACAAUUAGAAACGCCUGGAAAUGAGAGCCAGAUAACCCAAGUUCAAAGUCUGGCUCCACCAUUUACUACUUACCUGACCCUGUCCUGGACACUUGAGACCUCUCUUAGCCCAUUUCCUGAACUCUAGUUCCAUACGACUAUUCCUGUGGUCAAAACUACGAGGGGAUCUGAAACUUUUUUGGAUGAAAAGCCAUUUAGGACCACUUGUAGAGAAGGACAGUUUCUUCCAUCUGUUAGGGCCAUUCCUCCAAGGACAUAAUAAGAUUGUUAAUGGGUCUAUUGUUCAGAGACAACUGCAUUUGAAAUCCAGAAAGAUUACUUCUACUUGACUAGUGAUAAUCAAGCCAAGUACAAAGAAGGGAUGGUCCAGACUUCUGAGACCACCUUUACACAGGUCAUACUCAUACCUACUCAGGCACAAAAGGGGCUCCUCCUGACUAGCAAAGGCCUCUUGCACCACACACACUGAGGACAUGAAUUGGAAAGGUACUGAGCAACACUUGGAUGAGCCACCAAAACCUAGUUUCUGCACCAAGCACUUCAACCUCCCUAAAGCACAUGUGCACCAGACCUUGCCAGGCUCCAGAUUCUUGGAGAACCCAAGAUUUCAUAGUCUGCACAUAUUAAGUUAACAAAUCAGGCUCAAGAUAGAUAAAUUUUUUGGUCAAAGCAAAAUGCAGCCAAACCUGUGCAAAUGCUAUGGUUCAGUUCUUAUAACUCCCUCAAACCACCUGAUGUCCAUAAGAGCACCAAGCACAGACUCUCCAGGCCAAGAAUUUAACAGUACAGGAAACACACUGCAUGGCCUUAAGGGAAAGGGGUGGCAGGGGGCGAGGGGGAUCACAUGGAGAAUAUAGAAUGGAGACCUGAAGAGCACUGGUCUCACUGUGCAUCAUGACUGACAAUGUGCUGGCCUCAGAGUGAGAAGAGGAUCAGAACUGCAGUCAAAGUAUUCCCUACCUGCCUCCCUGCAUACCGAAGCGCAAGUUUCCCGCUCACCAAAGCCUGGACAUCUUCUGGGCUAGAAAAAAAAAGACAAACUUGGUCAACUGCUCCAGGAUGUUAGGGUUCUAAGUAUAGGUUGAGGCAAAUUUGUCUCAGAAUUCCACGGAGAAGACCGCCCAUAGAGGUUAACAGUCCCCACACCCAAACCCACAGGCCCCUCACCUCACAGAAGGCAGGCUUUCUUCACUCUCUGCCUAAGCCCAGCACUUGAGAGCAGAAAAACUCCAGCAUUAAAAAGAAAGCAGCACUGAACGUCCCAAAAGUAGUAGACCCGACAGACAGAAUAAUGUCGGUCAAUAUCUCAUUACUCCCAAAGGAAUGUUGAUAAAUUCUGUAGAAUUCCUUAUGAAAAGAUCUGUCAUACUUGCUGUUGUCCCCUUUCUCAAACCUCUCCCUAACCUCUUCCUUAACCCACCCCCAUUCUGGGUGGCCCACCUGGCCAGUGCUGGACUGUAAGCUAAUUUCCAGGCCCACUGUCUGGUGCUCAGCAACUCUCUGGUCAUAAUAAUUGCAGGAUGAUGAGAACACUCUAAGAGAGUCUGGAAAGGAGAUUUCUAAAAUCUGUCUCCCUGAUUCUCAAAGACUAGCAAGGAACUGUGCUCUGGAACACCUUCAAUCCCCCCACUCUAUGUCAACCAGCCCCAGAGGUGGCCACUUCUGCUUCUGUAACCAGCCCAACUCCCUGUGCAAGCCAUCUGUAUGGCCAAAAA